AGUUGUUGGCUUUGUACUACAUAUUAUAGGGAUGUAUUGAAAUUGCUUAGGGUCAUGUGUUAUUAGUAAGGAAGAAUAUGUUUAUCAAAUCAUGGGCAGAGCCAUAAAUGGUGAAACUAUGCUUUUGGAGAAGUACUAUUUAAUUAGCUAUUCAUCAGAAUUACUAAUAAAUAAUACAUUUUGCUCUGACAUCAGAGUUAUUUCUAAAGCAGUGGAAUAUUUUGGGUUUUAACACAGGUCAGCAAGGCACUUCUUAAAGAGUUUAUAACGGCUCAGAAGAGAAGCAAACCAUUUAAAGCUUUGGGAUCUGAACAUAUGAAUAAACUUGCCCCGUCAUUCCAUCUAACCUUACAAGUUCUGCUCUCCAAAGUCUCGAAUUUCAGAUGGAUGCAUUUUGCUUAAGCGAGCGGGAUCUACUGAAUCGCUUUGCUAUGGAAGUGUCCCAACGACAAAAAUAGGGAGAAAGCAAAGAGUACUAGGUCCUUCUGUUCCAGAGUUAUCAGCCUGCAGAGGAUUUGGGAAGAGCUUUCUCAGAUCGAUCAAUAUUGCAAACCUUCAUCAAUG
Long non-coding RNA from Rosa chinensis, 564 nucleotides. RefSeq lists it as uncharacterized. Lineage: Eukaryota; Viridiplantae; Streptophyta; Magnoliopsida; Rosales; Rosaceae. The record is from RefSeq and is a predicted model, not a curated record. The transcript has 3 exons.